AGGCGGGCAGGCAGCACUGGCGAGGGAGCUGAGCAGAGCACUCAGGGGAAAGUGCUCCCUCGCCAGCGCUGCCUGCCCGCC
Molecule: non-coding RNA, 81 nt
Organism: Pelobates cultripes (western spadefoot toad)
Lineage: Eukaryota; Metazoa; Chordata; Amphibia; Anura; Pelobatidae
Source: the annotation of a GenBank genome assembly